Molecule: long non-coding RNA, 371 nt
Filed under: Rosa chinensis
Lineage: Eukaryota; Viridiplantae; Streptophyta; Magnoliopsida; Rosales; Rosaceae
Description: sRNA RchiOBHm_Chr7g0205431
Source: RNAcentral
UUGUCCCGUCUCUUCAUCGGCUUCCUCACCCCCAUAUUCUCCUCCAUCUGAUACACCAAGCCACCGCCUUAGGAAAGUACAAAGGACAUAGCCGCCGCCUUGGGUAAGUAGGAGGUGUCAACAGCCUUGGAAAUCAAGUUUCAGAUUGAUGAUUCCCCAAAGCUAUCAAGCUAGAGCUGGAACCCUAGAAUCAAGAGCUGGAACUCUAGAAAUUGGGAGGUGGCAAGUCUAGUAUCUAUAUGGUUUCUUGAGUUGCUAGAUACAUAGAAAAACAAGGGAGAGAGAGAAAGAAAGGGAGUUUUGGUAUCUUAGAAGUGGAGAAGUAAAAAGUCAGGAACUUGUUUUCAUCCGGAUACUUAACGUGAAAAUCA